Syzygium oleosum is the source of this 993-nucleotide long non-coding RNA. RefSeq lists it as uncharacterized. The transcript is spliced from 2 exons. NCBI's taxonomy places the organism in Eukaryota, Viridiplantae, Streptophyta, Magnoliopsida, Myrtales, Myrtaceae. The record is from RefSeq and is a predicted model, not a curated record.
UAGUAGGAAGAACUUGAAUUCUCCCUUUUGGUAAGUUCUAUGUCGCUUCAGCACCCUUAUGUGGGAGGAUGGCUUUUUUGAAAUCCUAGGUACAUUACUCCUAUUUUAUAAAUUAUGAUGCGAUGUUAUGGUCACCCGUUAGUGGGUUUGGGUAUGUUGAGGAUGCUGUGCUGUUUGCGCCUGAGAUGAACAAUGUAUCUCAUUGAAUUAGCCUUGGAAGGCCGCCUUUUUCGAAGAGUCUUAAAAACUGUCGCAAGUACCUGUUGUUUGUUCUGAUUUUGUUGGAAAUUGUGUGCGGAGUUUCUCAAAUUCGAUCCCCACCAUCUCGGUGCUAUAAUUGGAAGCAGCAACAGCCGGUUUGGGUGAUUCGGAGUAGGAAAAUCUUAUGACAUUACACCUUUUAAGCAUGACUCCAGAUUGGUUCUCACUCAGUUUGUGUUUUAUUUCGUGGGAGGGACUCAUGUAAUUAAGGGUUAUAUACUUCCUUUUUGCUUAAGAGUGUAUGGGGCAUUACUGGUGAUGAAAUUCCUCUUCCACGAGGAUCUUGUGCCUGCUUUUACCUGAGUCAGCAGCUCCAAGGUGCCUUCCUCUCUUACUCUCGUGAAAGCACAAGUUUUUUAAGAACAUUUCCACCAUUUGCCUUGUGAAUUGAGAUUGGUGUUUUGAGCAAUGAAUUCCAUUGAUAAGAUCCAUGCCGGACUUGCUACCGGAGCUUAGAAUUGGAACUUUCCGGCAAUCUCUAUGGAAACCAACUGCUCGCUCGCAAAAGCAGUGAAAGUGCAAAUUGCUUGUGUUGUUCAGAUGAGGAUACUGGUUACAUCAGGGAAAGCCUUCAUAGGCUUGAGUCAAGUAUUGUUUGGUGCUGCGAGCCUGCUAACUAUAGAUGUAACUCUUGAAAGGGGAAAUUUAAGAAUUCCUCUGGAGAAAAACAGAAACUGAUGAGCUGCUGUACUUGGCAAAUCGAUUGUUCUAGUCCUUGCAUUCUUUUCUUAA